RNAcentral lists this ribosomal RNA (253 nucleotides) under uncultured bacterium. RNAcentral's name for it is "partial 16S ribosomal RNA". It matches the Rfam family "Bacterial small subunit ribosomal RNA", at positions 524 to 776 of the family's 1533-position model. The record is from RNAcentral.
UACGUAGGUGGCAAGCGUUGUCCGGAUUUACUGGGCGUAAAGAGCGCGCAGGCGGUCGUUCAAGUCGCGUGUGAAAGCCCCCGGCUCAACUGGGGAGGGUCACGCGAUACUGAUCGACUCGAAGGCAGGAGAGGGUAGUGGAAUUCCCGGUGUAGUGGUGAAAUGCGUAGAUAUCGGGAGGAACACCUGUGGCGAAAGCGGCUCACUGGACCACAACUGACGCUGAUGCGCGAAAGCUAGGGGAGCAAACAGG